RNAcentral lists this ribosomal RNA (475 nucleotides) under uncultured organism. RNAcentral's name for it is "partial 16S ribosomal RNA". It matches the Rfam family "Bacterial small subunit ribosomal RNA", at positions 334 to 800 of the family's 1533-position model. The record is from RNAcentral.
CACUCCUGCGGGAGGCAGCAGUGGGGAAUAUUGCACAAUGGGCGCAAGCCUGAUGCAGCCAUGCCGCGUGUAUGAAGAAGGCCUUCGGGUUGUAAAGUACUUUCAGCGGGGAGGAAGGCGAUAAGGUUAAUAACCUUGUCGAUUGACGUUACCCGCAGAAGAAGCACCGGCUAACUCCGUGCCAGCAGCCGCGGUAAUACGGAGGGUGCAAGCGUUAAUCGGAAUUACUGGGCGUAAAGCGCACGCAGGCGGUCUGUCAAGUCGGAUGUGAAAUCCCCGGGCUCAACCUGGGAACUGCAUUCGAAACUGGCAGGCUAGAGUCUUGUAGAGGGGGGUAGAAUUCCAGGUGUAGCGGUGAAAUGCGUAGAGAUCUGGAGGAAUACCGGUGGCGAAGGCGGCCCCCUGGACAAAGACUGACGCUCAGGUGCGAAAGCGUGGGGAGCAAACAGGAUUAGAUACCCGAGUAGUCCCAUGA